CUGAAACGGAGGAGGAUUUGAGAUUUGAGUACCGUUUGAGUAUCGUUGACGGAACGGAACACGGAAGAUAAACAAAGUGACAAGAACAAACAAGGAGACGAACUUGGAUACCCUGCCUUCAAGCCACUGAAAUCCUCGUCGUAAUGGACAGUUCAGAAUGAAAAGGCAGGGGGCGAAGAUUUCCUCUUUUUAAAGUGAUCCAAGUCUGGGACGAGUCAGGCUCAGGAUGAGAAAGAAUCUGGCACACACUGCCCAUCACCAGCCUCGGCCACCCCCUGGCCACCCCAAGAAUAAAAGUCUGGCUCCGCCACUGCUUGCGGCAAGUGCAUCUCGAUGACAACGGAGCGAGAGAGCGGAUGCUGUCGAGAACUCAGGUUUUUGUCAGCAGAUGUUCAAGUCCUCAACAUGCGCUUCAGCUGGCCAAAAUGGUCACACGACACAUCCGCACAAACUGAAGCCUCAUCUCGGAAGCGCCCUGAGGACCAACAGAGCUAUGAGCUGAUUCAAGAGCUUUUGUGGCACUUGCAGGAGCGCAAGGCUGGGUCUCUGGAGCUGGAGCGGCGUCUUCCUAGAGGCUACACAUGGUUUCACACCCUAAUCCCCGCAUCAGAGCUAGACCAACUGGAAGUGCUGUGUGCCGGCAUCCCGCCCGUCUGUGCUGCGGCGCUGCUCUCCAGGUUUCACGAGGUGCUUGCGGCCAGCGAAGUGAUGCCCUGGGAGCUGGUCUCAGUCUUCAAGAUGGUGUUGAGAGACGUCAAGCAAAGGCAAUGUGACAAAGACCACAAUCUUUCAGAAAAGGCAAAGAUCCUCCCGACAAUGGCAUUUUGGACAAGCAGCAACAAAUCGGAGCAGGGUGUUGUGGAUGCGAGCAGUAGCGAUAAAAAGUCUAGAGAGGAGAUCCCGACUGUGUCUGGAUAUGUAGAUAGGGUGACGCGGUAUACCACUUCGUUUACAGGAAGAAUAGAAUGGGAUCUUCCAUAUUACUAUCCAGUUCCCACGAGGCCAAUGGAGUCAUGGAAUACAAAGAGAGGACACUCCUCUCAAUGAAUCUUUUCUCUCGAUUCAUUUCUUCUACAUCGAAAAUAUCUAUGCACAAUGUUUCCUCAAGUUAAGAAAUUAAGUGGUUCCAGAGUGGCUUUCGUGAUAAUCACGAUUUUUUUCCAUAUAAUGAAUCGAGUUUCACACGUAAAUCGCCUAAUUUGUUCCAAGCCAUACCAAAACACCUCGGAUUACCCGGCUUUAUUUGUAAUGCUUUGUCGUCCCCUAGUGGUGCUUAAGUGUAACUAGUUAAUUAAACUCAUUCUAUAGACGUAUCACAUGACUACUUGAGCUCAUAGCAAACGCACAGCGCUAAAAGAUGAGCUAACUUCAGCAGCCAUUUCAUCAUGCCGUUUGUACCAUGAUAAAGUAUCGCUUCUAAGUUAUGUUCUUCUUUUGCUUCCCAUACAUGAGCGUUGUGGCGUGUAUAUUUCCUCUGUUUACAUUCAUAGUCAAACGUGGUUAUAUUAUUGCAUUGCUGCGAGUGGGAAUUAUCUAUUAUAGUAGAUAUUAGUUUUCGUAUGAUGAAUCAUUAUUCGUAAUCAGUGUUGUUAAUAACGACGUUAAGAGUAUAACUGCGUCACUAAAGGCGUUAUUUUAUUCAGUAGUGAGUAAUCUAAUUACUUUUCUUGUCUUGGCAAACCUGUUACCGUUACUGAACUCGAAUCGAUCUUUAAAUGAUGAAACAGUUCUAAAACAUUCACAUGUCAAAAGUAGACAGAAGGGAACUAAUGCAAUUACGGGAGCAAUUUUAACAACUUUAUCGGUUGAUUCACAACAUUGAAUGACUUCCAAACAUAGAAAAGGUUACAAUCUAGUUAUCACAAUAUCCGCAAUACCCCUGUAUCUAGUUAAGUAUUGCUGAGCCAGUUCAUGGAUGCGCACCCUACGCUGAUAUUUUUCUAUCAUUUGCAUCUUCAUUUCACUGGUAAGCGUUACCUUAUUUCUUGUUUCACCACCUGUACAAACCUGUGUUGAUUUCUGGCACAAGAAAAUCCGCCGUGCAUCUGUCUGCGGCGCUGUCAUGUAGUCGUAUUUCGAGCAUGUCGUCGAAUUUAGAAACAAAUAGCGAGUCAAUUUUUACGUCGGAUGUUGAAAAGAUCGUGUCAAAGCAAUCGUAUUUCAAGCAUGUCGUCGAAUAUAGAAAGAAAUAGCGAGUCAAUUUUUUACGUCGGAUGUUGAAAAGAUCGUGUCGAAGCGAUCAUAUGUCGAGGUACCACUGUAGUUUCAAACAAAUUUUAGGGCUGCAGGUAUCGAAUAGUUUAGUAAUCGAGUAAUCGACUGAAAAUUCUAUCGAUUAAUCGAGUAAUCGGAUAAAACAAAUAUAUUUUUAGAUGAAGAGCAAUUAUAAAUAUACAUGAGAAAACAAGACAUUUCAUCUAAUCUUGAACCAUUUUCAGUCAAUCAAUGUCUUUAUUUUCGAUGUAUAUUGUUGAAAACAGCCAACAAUUGCAUCUCAGAUGUAACUACAAUAAUAAAAAGACUAAUUCGCUGCUUUCACUCAAAAAACUUUGAGCUCUUAUUUAAAAAAAACAAAAAAUCUAUACAUAUAUAUAUAUAUACACAUAUAUCUUAUCUAAAAAUGCUGUUAUGCUUGAUAACACACAUCACUUAAAAGUUAGGAUUUUUCCCACAUGUUUCAAUUGAAUUUCUAUUUGUGUCAAGCCAUUUUUAAGUUCUAGUUAAGUUUUAAGUUAGUGUAAACUUUAAGUCCUGAUAGGACUUUUGAGUUUUUUAAGUGUUGUAAAUGUAUGAUACAGGCUGUAUUGGGGCACAUUAGGGACCAGUGCUACUUGGUGUUUUAUCCAGCAACGACUACUGAGCUAAAAAUUGAUAGUUAGCAUUAUUAAGUUUUUAAUUUACACUCUCAUCAUCACUCCACAAUGCUAUGUUAUGUUAAAGCCUGUAUGUAAGACACGUUAGCCACGCAUCGACAGUGGUCAUAAUUAAUAGAAAUCUAGCCCUCCGCAGGGCUAACGUUACGUGAGCUAGUAGUGACACUAACUUUAAUCUUAUCUAUUAGCGCUUAGCGCUCUUUAUUAGCGCUUAGCGUUCUACUGCUUUAAGAUGGCGGCUGUUUACUAACGCUGCCCAGACGCGGCCGAGUCAGUCAUUUUGCAUCUAGUUCAACAUACAUGGGAUCUCUAUGGCUACGUUCAUACUACAGGUCUUAAUGCACGAAUCCGAUUUUUUCAUGUUUUUCUGACUCGAGUGAGGCAUUAACUUGACGGUCUGAACGUGACAAGUCGCAUAGAACUGGACCAUUUCAAAUCCGAUCUGGGUCACUUUCGUAUGUGGUUCAAAUCCGAUCUGGGCCACAUUUUUCCAGACUGUCGCGGCGGUCUGUACUGUCCUGUCUCUCAAAUCGGAAUUCAUGCAGCAAUUACGUCAUCAAAAAGCGAUAGAGACGCUACAGUACCUGUGCAGCUGUGCGUCAUUAGCGCCUAGCUUGCCUUGAACACGGCUUUUUAGGAAGGGUCGGACUUGACAAGUCAUAAAACAAAUAAAAAUGUGUUGAGGAUAAGCCUGAGAAUGAUCGGUUUUCUGUCUGCUCCAUAUACCUGUAAGCAAUAUUUCAACAUUGCUUACACGGCCGAGAGUCGGGGCAAACUGCCCGUAUGUGCGUGUGACAUGCACGGACAGUGCGUGCAUGCUAUCGUUCCAUAUACUUUGAAUAUAAGCCUAAACUGGGAUUAUUUAUAUGAUAUAUUAUCUGUGUCCUCUUUUUAAAAAGCAAAAUAUGAUAUCCCUGGAAUGACGGAUGACAGCCAGCAUGUGUUGUCAUUUGCUUUGAUGCUUCUGCGCAUGCGGGUCGUCUUGCUCAGCGCUUGUCAGACUGCGACUUAGUGCGCAUGCGUAAUACUUGAAUGGUCUCAAUGGACAAAGGCAGUCUGAACGGGCACGCCAAAAAAACAGAUAUGACAAAAAAUCGGAUUCGUGCAUUAAGACCUGUAGUAUGAACGUAGCCUUUGAGACGCAUCAGACGCUACCUGCUACCAACGUAGCAUCGUGCGGACUAGUAUUUAGCAACGUCGGCGUCAUUUGCAGCGGCUGUCGGCUCCACUCCAAGAUCACCACCCCAUUGGGAAGAAACUAAAUCACGACCCCCAAAUGGUAUUCUUCCCAUGCAGAUACAGGGAUGUCACACAGAUCCAAAUGAAAACAUCGAACACAGUAAAACCCACGUGGCAGACAGGACCAAUGGUGACAAUAUAAGACCAUGCCGAGCUUCAUGGACGGUUCAAACUCAUCCUGCCCAGGAACGGCUGGUAUGUUUUUAUGUCUGAGACAAAUGUUGUGCUCAGUGGAAAUCUGGAUAGGCUUAUUAUUCCUUAUAUUAGUUAACAAUUGGACAUAAUUGAUUAUUUACUCUUUGUUUAUUUAACCAAUCAACAUUCUCAUUAGCUUAUGCAAAUCUUGAAUAUAAAGAGGCCAGAAAUGGUGUUGAUUGUCUAAAAAAAGAAAGUUUGAUUGACACGUGCUGACUUUUGGAACGUUGGCCUGAACAAUGAAAUGGAAUCAACUGUGAAUUUUGAGGAUUUAGUUUCUCUAAAGAACAUAAUGUCACUUGUACAAUUAAGUAAAAUGUAACUUUUUGUGUUUGUUUUUUGCAGAUAUGAAAUGCAUAUUUAUAACUUGUCUAACAAGUAGCUCAUUCAAAGGUAUAAAAAAGUAUUUUUUGGCGUGUGUAGGGUAUUUUAACUAUGUAGCCUACAGAAUGCUUGUAUGGGCUCAUGUAGGUGUCUGCGUACGUUUGUAUUUAUAUAACAUAUGUCCGUGUGUAUAGAUUAUGUUUUUUUCAGGGAAGGACCAUAUUUGUGGCUGACCCCUAUGUUGUUGCAACAUGGUGAAAGCCUACAGGAUGUGACCCACACAUGCAUUUGCCUGUAAGGCUGAUUAGUAACAACUACAACUUGGAGCAUUGGUUCAUUUUCAAAGAACAGUCAAAUCAUAACAAAUUAAAUGAUCCAAAUUCCAAUUAUUUGUGGGAAGAAAAACAGAUCCAAUCAUGAGAUCAGGGAACAAUUGUUAUCUCUAAUGAAAUUCAGUAUCCAUUCAUAUUGGCAUGGCGUUUCCAUGAUGAUCCAGAAUGGCCUUGUUUGGUUUUGAAGGUAUGUUCCAGUCGAUCCUUUUAUGUUGCCCCUUCAAUUAAAGCAGAAUUGCACUCCAGAUGAUUCAUCCAAUCAUUUGAAGCAAAUUUCUAAAAUGCCACUCUAAAAUUGCGAAUGUUUUGUUUCAAGGGCGUUGGCCCGGUCUCAACAUUGGUAGGGACGAAUAUAAUGCAAGUAAGGUUGCUCAAAAGUUGGUGGGGACAACUUUAGCAUCCUGAAAAGUUGGUCGUGUUAUGUCCCUACCGUCCCUAUGCAAACCUACGCCCUUGUUUUGUUUGCAUGAAUCAUUUAAACCUGACUGGUUGGUGUUCUUAUGCAUGGAAACACGUUUGUAAUUGUUUAACUACUGUAUUUAAUAUGAACCUAUAUUUUCAAUUGCAGAAAACGUUGACAGUCAAUCAACAGGGGGACAUGGAAAGAGAGGAUUGGAAGUGAAAUAGAGGGUUUUCCGGGACAGCCAUAGGGGAAGGACUGUGGCAUCUUCAUGUUGAUGACUGAUAUGCCAACUCUGAGGAAGUGGUGGUGUAUAUUGCUAGCGGACAAUUUCAAACUUGGGUGCAUGCCACAGGAAAGAGUUUGCCCAUUGGACAGAUGAGGCAAAAGCAUUACUGCAGGGUGAAGUGCCACCAGUCUAUCAGUUACAGAAGUGAAAUUCGAAUAUAAUUGCUGAGGAAGAGGUGCAACCACAGCUCCUUCAAGUUAGUGGUGGCCCACUCCAAAAAGAUAUGGCGGGAAAAAAUGUUUUGGUAAAAGGAUUGUGCAAGACAGCACAAAAGCCUCGGGCAGGGAUAGGGGG
Corythoichthys intestinalis (scribbled pipefish) is the source of this 5946-nucleotide RNA transcript. It is a transcript of the gene named RD3 like, with no coding region annotated. The record is from RefSeq and is a predicted model, not a curated record. The transcript is spliced from 12 exons. NCBI's taxonomy places the organism in Eukaryota, Metazoa, Chordata, Actinopteri, Syngnathiformes, Syngnathidae.